AGAGCCAAAAGCAUGGAUGUGUAUCCCUUACAUUUUUUUCCAGCUUUCCAAAUGAAGGCUGAAAUGCAUCUAACGUACUCUAAGGCAUAUUCACUGACUGAAACAUGAACUGCUAAGCAGACCAGCGGUUGAGUGCUUCAGAUGGAAAACAGGCUGAGUAGUUUUUGGAAAGCAGAAGCAGUGCUAGAUCUGUUGAUAGAAUUGUUGUGUCUUGCAUCCGUGGUUUCUUCCUGAAUGAUUGACAGAGCUGCACUGACAGCAGCUCACUACCCCAGACCAAAAUUAUCAGGCUAAUGAGUCAAUGGUAGAAGGAGGAGGUGUGAAGCACCUUUAAUUGAAAGACUCCACACAUCUGCAGAGGCAUUUUAUGAGUGAAGCUGAUGGAGAAUGUUACAGAGGAGACUCUCGUUCUCUCUUUCAGGGAGCGUAGCAGCAGACCCAAGCUUGACAGAUUUCAUAUUUUACACACUGUGAUGCCACCAGGCGGGAGGCCUGAGCAGAUGCAGGAAAUACAUCUCACCUCUGCAAUCUUAUAAUCCCCAAUUCCCUACUUUCCCCUCCAGCUCAUCAAGAAGGUGGCAAUGAAGAUCAUCCUCCUCACCCAUAGCUUUGUCCUGAUCCUCUACAAAUCCCUUCACUGACUUCUGCAUCAAGCUAGCUUCUCAUUCUUGUCUUCAAAGUUCUGCACAAUUGUGCCCAGCCAAAAUCUGUUUGUGUUUCUUAUUGUGAUUACACCACUUCAUUCCUUUCAUCUCCUUUGUGCAUUUCCAUUGUUUCUUCCAUGCUACUCCACAUGUCUAACUGGUCUAGUGGAUAGAUCCUUGGUCUCAGAAGCCCUGAGUUUUAGUUCUUGCUCUGUUACUGUCCUGCUAUUUGACCCUGGACAAGUUACUUGAUCUCUGUUUCCUCUCACAACCUUUUCUGUUUAGAUUUACUUAUUUAUUUAAAGAGUAAGCUCUUAGGGGCAAGAUUGUCUUUUAAAGUGUGUGUAUGGUGCCUAGCACAAUGGGCCCCCAAUUUCACUGGGGGCCUGUAGCUGGUACAGUAAUAUGAAUAAAAAUAAUAAUCCCACCUCCUGUUAUGCCUUUUCCUGCCCUGGCCACGAAGCAUGAUACAUUCUCCCCACCACAAGUCACUAUACUUUUUCUCAAUUCAAGUACCUCCCAAAGGCUUACUUCUAGAGUGACAACAAUCAGUGAUCAAAAUUGAACAUUUGAAAUGUUCAGUGCAAAUCCCUCUUUAUGCACCAAUCUUCUCCAGUUCAUUAUGUUAGAAUGUACAUUCUCUAGGACAAAGGACUGGAUAUAUUUUAGAACUUGCCAAGCACAUCGUAGGCACUUAUACACUAAGUAUUAAUAUAUAACCCAAAUGGGCAAGAAAUUCCACCAUGUUAUAGAUUUAGUGCAUGAGGAAAAAAACAGAACAAUUUCAUUCACCCCUUCAAUUGUUUAACUAUUAAUGACAUACAUUUGGUUCUUUCCUUUACAAGACGGCUUGACUUGAGGCUGUAAUAUAUACAUGGGUAUGUGUAUAUAAUAUACACACAUACCCAUAUAUAUUACAGCUUCAAGGCAAACAGUAUUUUAUACAUAACACACCAAUCUCAGAUAUAGACUAAGCUCCAAACAUUAACAGUAUAAAUAAAUGGAUAGAUGGAGUGCUCCUUACCGGAGAAAAACAAAAUCUUGCUCCAAGGGGCCAAGUUCUGUGGGAAAAAAUGUGUUUCUGUCUAAAUUUGGCUGGAAACCUCACUUCAUUAUCGCUCCUGCCUGUGGCCCAUUUGUUAUAUACUGAGGGUUAUACAAUGCUGUCGGCUGCAGGAAGCAAGGGAGAAAGAUUAGGUAAAGGGGCACUCAGAUCACAGUUUUACCUUGUGGCCAACUUUAGUGGCAGAAAAACAGAAAACAAAAACAAUUGUGUUGGUUUUCUUUAAGGAAGGACGGGGGAUUUUUACAUGUGUGGUUUCUGCACCCUAUUCCUCCAGCAGAUCACCUUGAAUUCCAAUAGAGCUGUGAAACUGCCAGCCACAACAAUCUGAAAAUUACAAACUGGGGGUGGGGGCAGCAUUAAAAAAAGAGAAAGGGGGGGAAAAGAAACUUCUUUUCUGUUUGCACAAAUAGAUCAUCUAUGGUCAUUGAUGUGUAGACAAUCUAGCUGCACAGAUAACACUGGUCUACAAUGUUUGAGAAGUCAUCUGCUUCAGAGAUAAAAUGUGCUAUUUAUCAUGUAUUUUGA
Long non-coding RNA from Trachemys scripta elegans, 2235 nucleotides. RefSeq lists it as uncharacterized. NCBI's taxonomy places the organism in Eukaryota, Metazoa, Chordata, Testudines, Emydidae. The transcript is spliced from 4 exons. The record is from RefSeq and is a predicted model, not a curated record.